GGGCUCGUGGUCUAGCGGUUAUGACGCCGCCCUCACACGGCGGAGGUCGAGGGUUCGAAUCCCUCCGAGCCCA
This 73-nucleotide transfer RNA is filed under the name Archaeoglobus fulgidus. RNAcentral describes it as "tRNA-Val". It matches the Rfam family "tRNA". Rfam says of the family: Transfer RNA (tRNA) molecules are approximately 80 nucleotides in length. Their secondary structure includes four short double-helical elements and three loops (D, anti-codon, and T loops). Further hydrogen bonds mediate the characteristic L-shaped molecular structure. tRNAs have two regions of fundamental functional importance: the anti-codon, which is responsible for specific mRNA codon recognition, and the 3' end, to which the tRNAs corresponding amino acid is attached (by aminoacyl-tRNA synthetases). tRNAs cope with the degeneracy of the genetic code in two manners: having more than one tRNA (with a specific anti-codon) for a particular amino acid; and 'wobble' base-pairing, i.e. permitting non-standard base-pairing at the 3rd anti-codon position. The record is from RNAcentral. Lineage: Archaea; Methanobacteriati; Methanobacteriota; Archaeoglobi; Archaeoglobales; Archaeoglobaceae.